This 440-nucleotide ribosomal RNA is filed under the name uncultured bacterium. RNAcentral's name for it is "partial 16S ribosomal RNA". It matches the Rfam family "Bacterial small subunit ribosomal RNA", at positions 338 to 795 of the family's 1533-position model. The record is from RNAcentral.
CCUACGGGAGGCAGCAGUAGGGAAUUUUGCGCAAUGGGCGAAAGCCUGACGCAGCAACGCCGCGUGAUCGAGAAGCCCUUCAGGGUGUAAAGAUCUGUCAGUGGGGACGAAACUUGACGGUACCCACAGAGGAAGCAACGGCUAACGCCGUGCCAGCAGCCGCGGUAACACGGGGGGUGCAAGCGUUGUCCGGAAUCAUUGGGCGUAAAGAGUUCGUAGGCGGCACGUAAAGUCUGGUGUUAAAGGUAGAGGCUCAACUUCUGUAUGGCACUGGAUACUUGCGAGCUAGAGUGCGGUAGAGGUAAAGGGAAUUCCUGGUGUAGCGGUGAAAUGCUUAGAUAUCAGGAAGAACAUCGGUGGCGUAAGCGCUUUACUGGGCCGUAAUUGACGCUGAGGAACGAAAGCCAGGGUAGCAAAUGGGAUUAGAUACCCUGGUAGUC